Molecule: long non-coding RNA, 2458 nt
Filed under: Citrus x clementina
Lineage: Eukaryota; Viridiplantae; Streptophyta; Magnoliopsida; Sapindales; Rutaceae
Description: Citrus clementina (C. clementina) long non-coding RNA (CCLE_LNC001821)
Source: RNAcentral
UUUUAACACAAAUAUUAUGUACUGCUAAUAUAAUCUAAUGAUGCACAUCUAUUCUAUUAUUGAUGUCAUAAAAAAAUUAUAGCAGGUAUCAUAGAAUGACCCAAUUUUUAGUUAUACAAGAUUUUCCUAGAAAAUGAAAACAACUUCACAUAGGAUUUUGAUAGCAACAUUUCGGACAUAGAUGGUCAAAUUAACCAAUAUCCAUUAUCUUUUAUCUUGCGUACUCGUUGUACAUGCGAGCACAUAUUGCUAGCUCAAGUGAUCAAAUACGCAGUAGGAACUCUCUAUAGAUCAUCAUGGAUGAUCUCAAGGGUGGUAACAAGAAAAAUGAGAGUCGUCAAUUGUGAAGGACAGCAAGUUGCUAUUAGCCAUAGAACGAAUUAACAAACCAUGUAUAAUGUAGCAUACGAAUGAAGUUAAGUGGAAAGCAGCCAGCUGAUUGCUUCAUUGAGGUCUCGUGCAUGCUUCACCUGCAUGCUUGUAAGCUAAACGUGGCUGAUUUUCAAAAAGCAACAGCAAGAUGCUUGCUUUAAUUAGAGCAUAUGCAUGCUUCACCUGUGUGCUUGUCAUGCAUGCUUGGUGGCGGUGGGCAUAUAUAAAGUGAAGAAUUGAAUUAGCUCUCACCAUUUCCCAUAAAUCAAACCAAAAAAGAGUAACUCGAAGAGAUAAGAAUUGAAGGGAAAGGAGAGAAAGAAAAAUGAAGAAAACAGAAGAAAAAAAGAAAAAAUAAAGAAAAGAGAGGCCAAGAGUGAGAGAGAAGAAAAGAAAUAAGAAAGUUAUAGGAAUUGAGGUUGGAUAGUUUGGAUUAGUUGAUAAUGUAUUUAUGAAAUUUAAACAAUUAUGAUUUAGUUUACAUUAUACAUAUUAGUUUUUAUAUCAGUUCUAACGGUUAAUUUUUUAAUCUUGUAUAGGAGAAAUUCAAGUAUCUAGGAACUCACAAGAGCCCAAACGAAUCUAGGGUGAAACAAGAUAUGUGAGUAGAUUAUGAUGAUGAUGAUGAUGAUGAUGAUGAUGAUGAUGAUGAUGAUGAUGGAACAUUUGUGUUUGAUAACAUGAUUUAGUAUCAUGUUAUGAUUAUAUGCAUGCACAUUAUAUGAUUGAUUCUGUCAUGAGGUGUGAUUGCUGAAAUAAUAACUAGACAACCUAAGAGAGGGGUUGAAUUGAGUUUUUAAAAACUAAUGCAAAACGAACCACACAACAAUAAUCUAAUGCCUUAAUAAGAACAAAAAUAAUAAAUUUAAUCAAGCACAAUAAUUAAAAAGUAAGGGAAGAGAGAUUAAACACGUGAUUUUUACGUGGUUCGGCUAACCAUGCCUACGUCCACGCCUCCAACCUCACCAGGCUUGAGGAUUCUACUAAGCAAGCCUCCAAGGCUUCAAUCACUCUUACAAUUGACUUCCAAGGUGUCAAUAAACCUUUACACAAAGAGAUUAUCCUCAAUCUUUUAUCCCAAGUGUAUCCCAACACUUACAACCUCUCAAUUUGAUUUUAAAAAAUAUUACAAAAUAAAUCUCUCACACACAACGUGUUUAAUUACAAAUGAAAAUCUAAAGUGUGAGUAAGUGAGAUGAAUACAAGAAUUUAAAACUUAAAGAAAAUUGUAUGCUCAAUAAUUUGCUCAAUGAUAAUUGUUGAAAUCGUUGUUGUUUAAAUUUAAUUGAGCUUAUUUAUAGUUGGAGCUAAAAUAUAGUCGUUGUUGACUUUUUACUCAAUGUCUGAUCGCCGUUAACUAGAUAUCGGAUCGUCGUUUUCAAGAUGUCAGAUCGCCGUUAGUAUCUAGAGGCUACUCUUCAAUUCUGUUCGAUGUCAGCUAGUCGUUGUCAAGACGUCGGUUAGUCGUUUGUUACAGUGACUGAUACAGUGAACUAUUUUAUAAAAUUACAGUGUGGCCCAAAAAACUUUAUAAAAUUAUACUAUGACCUAAAGCUUUAUAAAACUUGUCAAAUAAGUCUAUUUCUAGAAUUUUAAGCAAUAUUUGCUAAUUUCAAAGUUCUCAAGACUUUUUCAAUUUAAAUCAUUAACAUAAAAAUCAUAAAAUUACUUUUUAUUGAAUAUAAAGCCUUUAUAAUAUGAAAACUAUAUGAAAGAAUAAUUUGAGCUUUUAAAUCAAUAUUAAUAAAGUUUGUUAUCUUCAAAAUCAAUAUUAAAGAAAUAUUUAUGUUAACAAUUGCCAGUCACCAUAUGUGUACUGUUCUUAUUAAGUGUUGCAUAGGCAUAUUGAGACUUAAAUUACUCUGUCUGUACAAUGUAGUUAAAUUCCAUCAGGUAUUUGAGAGGUUUUUCCCCUACUCUGCUCGCGCGAUGAUGAUCCUGACAAUUAUGAUAGUUAUGCUUGGAUACUAUUUGGUGCAAUUUUGUCAUGUAUGUACGUAUAAUUUUCAUGUUUGCUAAUGCAUUAUAUUCAGUGUGGAGUUAUCUCAUGUGACUAUAUAUAAGGACUAGUACACUACUUUAUAUA